Molecule: long non-coding RNA, 1307 nt
Filed under: Calidris pugnax (ruff)
Lineage: Eukaryota; Metazoa; Chordata; Aves; Charadriiformes; Scolopacidae
Description: lncRNA (ENSCPUG00000011653.1)
Source: RNAcentral
AAAAGAAAAUAGAGCCAAGAGUCCUUCAGUGUUUCCACCUUGGCCAAACGGCCUGAACUGCAAUACCCGAGGUUGCUUGGAUGGAGCCACUCUCCAAAUCAACAAGCACCUGGCACCAUCUGGAGCAACUAAAGGACCUGGCAAGGACAGACAGGGCUUCCACAGGAGGACAUUUCAAAGCCCAAGCUUAAAGAUCAGCUGGAAUUGGAAGCAGAGAAUGCAUUGAUGUUCAGAGUUUAAUCAAGCUCAGCACGAGACAUGGCACAAAACCAGCUGCUUCUGACUUACAUGAUUCAAAAUCUACAGGGUGUCUACAAGGUGCUUCCCAGGCCAGCAUAACUGAGACCAAGAGUUUUGAAAUCAUCCUCCUCCAGGAGCCGCAGUCCACGUCACGUUUCUUAGCUCUUCAUGAAUGGCUUCCAGAUGCCUGGGCAGGGCUAUGUGAAGAGGUUUGUAAUCAGGAGACCCAAAUAGUAGGGUCACAAGGUGCCCUGUGAAAAGGCAUUGUAUAUCAUACACACCAUCUCUUCCUGCCUCAUUACUUCUCUUCCAGCCAAAGCCGCCAAAUAUUAGGCCCCUUUUUAAACACUCAUCUGUCUCCAUAUAAAAACUGUUGAUUACUGCAUCUUCUACAUUACACCUCAAAUUCACAAAUAGCUUUAUAUACAACCUUGUUCUUCCUGUACCAUGUGUUUGAUUUUGAUCUAAAACGCCUACUAUUGCCUGGGCCAUUCCUGAUAUGUGCUGAAAUGAGAACACCCUCUGUUUAUUCAGUCUUACCCAGUUCCUUAUACCUCACUUGUAGCAAGUCAUAAAACACAGGCUGAGACAUGAAAACGUUGUAACACUGGUGUCGUGGUUUGGUUUCCCCUUUAAAAUCCACUUUUAACUAUUCCUCAUCUUCCUUUUGCUACUCAGAGUAACCAUAUUUAGGGCUACCCCUCAUUCUUUGCAACCUGCUCUGAGUUUUGCUCUCUGCCAGUUUAAUGAACUUCUCACCUCUCGCGCUCAUCACUACUUUUCCCCACAAGAACCUCAACAUCAUUCAUAUAUUUUUACUGAAAUCAUCCUUGAAGUUGAAUCCUUUCUCUGUUACAGGAUCAGGGAGUUAAGACUUGAUUUUUAAACAUGAUCUGGGUAACAUAAAUGUUCAAAUUAAAAAGAAAAAUUUGGCUAACUAUUUAAAGCAGUGUUAGCGUCAUCAAAUGUAAUGAAGUAAUCACAGGAAUUGAUUUAAAGGAAUUAAUUCCUGUAAAAAAGAUGGAAAUAUACAAGAAAUAAACACCAUUUCUACAUUAAAAAGGUCA